Myodes glareolus (Bank vole) is the source of this 1427-nucleotide non-coding RNA. The record is from RefSeq and is a predicted model, not a curated record. NCBI's taxonomy places the organism in Eukaryota, Metazoa, Chordata, Mammalia, Rodentia, Cricetidae.
GUGAGGAGGAUGAGCCCUUUUCUCCCAGAGCUGUUUCAGGUCAGUGCUCUGUCACAGCCACAAAAAAAGUAACUAGAAUGUGUAGAUAGUCAGGAGAAGAGCGGGCAGGAGGCACCUAUUAUUACAGCCCCCCACCCUAAGCCCCUCCCCAUACCCCCGUGACUGUGAUCAGGAUGCGGGGGAAUGAACUCAAAGGUGGACCCUCAGGACUUCCAACUGGCCACCAGGAAGGGGCUAUGGGAAGCCAGAAGAAAGUCGGACACCCAGAACCAGCCUUGGAAGUUUCCAAACGCAUCCCUGAGCGGUGUGGAGAGGGAGGUGCGUGAGCUGAACAGGCUAGCGAGGAGCAACCAUGCCUGUUUGAGAGGCUGGAGGAGCCCUGUUGGGGACCUGGUGGCUGAACUGACCUCCGAAGAAUAAGGAAAAUGUCACAAAGAACACGAGAGAGAAGCACAGAAGAGAGCAGGGUCUGCGGGCAGCAAUGGAAAAGGAGGUCUGUGAAUCUGAGAAGAUCGAGAGGCCUGAGGUGGGGAGCUAAAGGAGAAACAUCGGAACUGGGGAGCAAGCCCAGACAUACAUGUCCCCUUCACCACCCCUGAGCAGUGAAGGCCUGAGAGGGCUUUGAAGGUCCCCUUUCAGGUCUGGAAAUGGCUGUUCCCCACCUGGCUGUGACAUUCCCUGUCCCCCAGCAUUCUUGGACUUGCUCCAGCAGGCAUACCAGGUGACUCAUAGAGACACCCAAGGGUAAUUGCUGAUUCUGCAUGCUGCAAUGCCCAGGGUCUCAGUUGCAGCAUGUGGUAGCUAGUUAUUUUAACUUAAUUUAAUAAUGAAUUCAUUUGUGUUUGUGUGCUCUCAAGAGGUACACCAUGGUACACACCUGCCAAGAGCAGCUUAUAGGAGUCAGCUCCCUCCCUCCACCUAUGAACUCCUCUGCCUUGGUGGCAGUUGCCAUACCUUUACAUGUUGGGCCACUUCCCCAGCUCCUUGAUGGUUAAUCUUGAUAGUCAACUAGACUCAAUUUGAUAUCAACAUGGAAACACACCUCCGGGCGUGUCCAGAAAGGUUUACAAAGAGAGGAAAGACCCACCCUGAAUGUGAAUAGCACCGCCCUAUUAGCCAGGAUUCCUGGCUGAAUACAAAGCAGAAAGUGAGGGGAGAACCAGCAUCCUCUCUGGUUCCCAUAGCGUCGCUGUGACCUGCUGCUCCCACCACUGAAUGCUCCCCACGACGAUAAAACCUUGCUUCCUUAAAUUGCUUCCGGACAGCUAACUAGACAGCUAGCUAUGGGCUGGAGAAAUGGCUUGAUGGUUAAGAGCUAGCUGCUCUUCCAGAGGACUCUGGACCCAUAUGGCAGCUCACGCCUGUAACUCCAAUUCCCAGGGACCCAACAUCCUCUUCUGAUCUCACUGAGUACCAGGGACACAGUG